RNAcentral lists this ribosomal RNA (468 nucleotides) under uncultured bacterium. Its description in RNAcentral is "partial 16S ribosomal RNA". The stretch from base 58 to 468 matches the Rfam family "Bacterial small subunit ribosomal RNA", at positions 39 to 507 of the family's 1533-position model. The record is from RNAcentral.
GGGGGGGGGGGGGGGGGGGGGGGGGGGGGGGAGGGGGGGCGGGAGGGCGGGGGGGGGGUGGGGGGCGGGGGGGGCGGACGGGUGAGUGACGCGGGGGUAACCUGCCCUUGACUGGGGGAGAACGUCAGGAAACUGGGGCGAAUACCGGAUAGGAGCGCCUGCUGCAUGGUGGGGGUUGGAAAGUUUCGGCGGUUGGGGAUGGACUCGCGGCUUAUCAGCUUGUUGGUGGGGUAGUGGCUUACCAAGGCUUUGACGGGUAGCCGGCCUGAGAGGGUGACCGGCCACAUUGGGACUGAGAUACGGCCCAGACUCCUACGGGAGGCAGCAGUGGGGAAUAUUGCACAAUGGGCGGAAGCCUGAUGCAGCAACGCCGCGUGCGGGAUGACGGCCUUCGGGUUGUAAACCGCUUUCGCCUGUGACGAAGCGUGAGUGACGGUAAUGGGUAAAGAAGCACCGGCUAACUACGUG